Molecule: long non-coding RNA, 3113 nt
Filed under: Podarcis lilfordi (Lilford's wall lizard)
Lineage: Eukaryota; Metazoa; Chordata; Lepidosauria; Squamata; Lacertidae
Source: RNAcentral
AUUCACACUACUGCGUUUUGCUGUGUAUAGUGUUGUUUAGCACUGUGUAAUUGUUUCCCAAUGGCGCCAAAGAGGAAAGUUCCUGCCGAAAAUCCCGCUUCUAAGGCAAAACGUCCUACCUCAAGCAAUCGGGAGUCGCGUAAGGAAGAUUCUGAUCCUAAAACCAUGUCUCAAUUAUUUAAUGCUUUCAAGUGUUUUAUGAAUGAUUUUGAACAACGUAUUGCUAACCGUUUGCCAACGUCCUCCCCUUCUCCUAGUUUUAUUCCUGACACGGCGCCUGAUGCCCCAUCCCUCGAUGGUGAGCUGCCUGGCACAUCUGCGUCAUUAUUUAACGAAUCCCAAUUCGCAAGCGCAGGUACGCGGGCCAUGUUGUCAGCUAAUCAACCUCCACAGACUCGUGCUAGGUCCCGAAUGUCCCGCGCCUUGUCAGCAGCAACACAUGCUACAGGUCGAUUGGCUUCUGUUCCACCCGAUAACAUGUCUAUGUCUCAGUCUUCUUCUAGUCUUCUUCAGAGCUCUCAGCCAGGGGUUCAACUUCCUGAGUCCGAGAUCUCUGAUGGUGAGGAGGUGCAGCUUCAGGCAUCAGCCGAGCAACAACCCACCACAACAGAUAAGCCGGCAGGGAAGAGACGCUCCAAGAAGAAACACGUUUACGAGAAGUCUAGAUCGCGGGAUACGGAUGAGGAGUCAGAUGAACUGCUUCCACUUAGCAUCUUCGGCCCAGCAGCUGCCGGAACCUUUCUCAGACCACCUCUGGAGCAUUGGAAAUGUGAAGUUAUCAAGGGAGUAUUAGCCUCACUGGAACCUUCUACUCUCAGGUCGUAUAAGAAAGCCUGGUGCGAUUUCCUGGAUUUCAGAUCCAAGGUUUCAGCUCUUGCCCCCAAUAUCCUGCCCACUACUGAUCACGUGUUACACUACCUAGCGCACCUGCAUAAUUUGGGAUGUGCAGCAGAAACCUUAAGAAUCCAUUCGGCUGCCAUCAGCUUUUUUAGCAAAGUUAUAUUCUCAGCUGACCCUUGCGCUGAUUUUAUCGUUCGUAGAGCAAUUAAGGGCUGGGGCAGACUCCAACUUGCAAAUGGCGAGAGCAGAAAGCUGGUAACAUUUGAUCUCCUCUGCCUGAUACGCCAGAAACUAAGGUCAAUAUGUUGGUCAAAAUAUGAAGCACGUUUGUUUUCCGCGGCAUUCUCCAUUGCCGCCUUCGGAGCCCUGAGUGUUGAUGAGGUUCUGUUUGAGGCCCAACCCGAUGGCUCCUCUCGCGGCCUCCACUUAAAUGACAUACAAUUAUCCAACUCCGAGUUAAUAAUAUACAUUCAGCGGUCAAAAACUGACCAACAGGGAAAGGGUGUCCCAAUCAGACUUUCUGCUUCUGAAAACCAGGGUCCAUGCCCAGUAAAAGACACUAGGAGGUACUUAUAUCUUAGACCCCCUGGCUGUGGCCCUUUACUCAUACACGAGAAUGGUUCCUGUUUGAAGAGGCAUCAGUUCAUGCAAGUAUUGCGCAAAGCGAUUGAUGCCUGUGGUUUCCCUGCAGAGGAAUAUGCUGCCGACUCUUUCAGGAUUGGGGCCGCCACAAUGGCUGCCCCUUUAGGCCACUCAACAGAUAGAAUCAGGAAUGCAUUGAAAUGGUACAUAUGAAAGAAUUUUUAGAACGCAACCACUUACCUGUCCUUGUUUUCUUACCCUCAGCUUCUUCUAACAUUCAAGUUUGGAUCUGCGGUCACAGUAUCGUCCACUGGGCCAGAGAUUGCAGCUUGGGCGACAACCUGGGACUGCCUGCAAGUGUGAGAGUUUCCUGGAUUUCAAGACGUGGCAUGCAAUGGGAGGAGUUGAUGCCAGUUACAAAGGCAAAAGCAGCAGCGUUUGGCCCACCUGACAUCCUGAUCAUUCAGCUGGGGAGAAAGACUUGGCCUUCAGGAAGAGCUUGGACUUGUUAUUGAACGUAAAAAAGGACUUAGACGAACUUGCUGCUCUGUUUCCGGAGUCUACCUUGUUUUGGUCCUCCCUUCUGAAGAGGAGAGUUUGGUGUGGCAGUCGUUGCCAUCGACAAAUCCGGGAAACUCUUGAAUCGUGUGGUGGCCCGCAAAUUGUGUUUUAUUAACAGCCAUGGGAUCAAGCAUGUUGACAUCAGAUUCAGCGAGGUGGCCCUGUUUAGAGACGAUGGCGUUCAUUUGUCUGAUCAAGGAAAUGAUGUGUGGUUGGCCAAUAUCAGUAGCAUUAGGGAUUGGUUGCAGCUGUGAGGGUAUUUGGCGGCGAGCCUCUUUGGCUCAGGUGGUGGUUAGGCAUUGGAAUAUGUGUCCUGUGGGGUCAUAUAUAGGUUGUUUGAUCCAAUGCCUAAGCCAAUACCACUCACAUGCUGUAACCAAUAAAGUUGUGGCCUCCUUUAGCCCAUUAACCUAAAAUACAUGUGUCCUUGUGUCUUAUUUACCCGUUGUAGGUCCUCGACUCACAAAGCCUCCCCUCCCAGAGGGGAGGUGUUGUGAGCGGGAGCUGUUCCCACAUCAGCAGCUUGUGAGGCUGGUGCUGGGGGGAAGUGCUGCUUCCCCCCCCCCCCAGCCUCAUAGAUCCCUGAAGCCUUUGGAGCACAGCAGGACCUCGCGCUGUGCUCCAAAGGCUUCGGGUUCCUUUUGCUGAAACCAGGAGAGUCUUGCUCUCCAGGCUUCCAAGGUAGCCACCUGAAGCCUCCAGAGCGCAGCAGGAACUCCCGCUGCACUCCCGAGGCUUUGGGUGAACGCACCUUGUUUUAGAGGGGGAGAACAAGAAAAAAAAAUUUUUUCCCUGUUCUCCCCCUCCUAUGGUCUGGUGCAUCCUAUAGAGCGAAAAAUACGGUAUGUUGUUUGAUCCAAUGCCUAAGCCAAUACCACUCUCAUGCUGUAUGUACCCAAUAAAGUAUUUGCCUUCUUUAGCCCAUUAACCUAAAAUACAUGUGUCCUUGUGUUUUAGUUACCCUACGCGGGUUGCGGGUCAUUGACUCACAACAACCAAACAUUUUCCACCUAAAUUAGGCUGGACUGAAGAAAGCUAACCAGGAGUGGCACAUCAAUCUCUGACUUUUGUCUUCAGGGUUUGUGGGGGUUUUCCUGUUGUUAUUCUGUGUCUCACAGCUACAAUAAACC